UGGGGAAUAGCUCAGUGGUAGAGCAUGUGCUUUGCAUGCAUGAGGUCCUGGGUUCAAUGCCCAGUACCUCUA
This 72-nucleotide transfer RNA is filed under the name Camelus bactrianus (Bactrian camel). It matches the Rfam family "tRNA". From Rfam's summary of the family: Transfer RNA (tRNA) molecules are approximately 80 nucleotides in length. Their secondary structure includes four short double-helical elements and three loops (D, anti-codon, and T loops). Lineage: Eukaryota; Metazoa; Chordata; Mammalia; Artiodactyla; Camelidae. The record is from Rfam by way of RNAcentral. RNAcentral also lists the same sequence under 2 other names.